CUGUCAUCCACUGUUAGAGAGGUCUGUCAUCCACUGUUAGAGAGGUCUGUCCUGUCUGUCAUCCACCGUUAGAGAGGUCUGUCAUCCACCGUUAGAGAGGUCUGUCAUCCACCGUUAGAGAGGUCUGUCAUCCACCGUUAGAGAGGUCUGUCCUGUCUGUCAUCCACCGUUAGAGAGGUCUGUCAUCCACCA
This is a long non-coding RNA of Oncorhynchus keta (chum salmon), 192 nucleotides long. RefSeq lists it as uncharacterized. Lineage: Eukaryota; Metazoa; Chordata; Actinopteri; Salmoniformes; Salmonidae. The transcript is spliced from 3 exons. The record is from RefSeq and is a predicted model, not a curated record.